Molecule: ribosomal RNA, 881 nt
Filed under: uncultured bacterium
Lineage: Bacteria
Description: bacterial SSU rRNA
Rfam family: Bacterial small subunit ribosomal RNA
Source: RNAcentral
AGAGUUUGAUCAUGGCUCAGGACGAACGCUGGCGGCGUGCCUAAUACAUGCAAGUCGAACGAACUCUGGUAUUGAUUGGUGCUUGCAUCAUGAUUUACGUUUGAGUGAGUGGCGAACUGGUGAGUAACACGUGGGAAACCUGCCCAGAAGCGGGGGAUAACACCUGGAAACAGAUGCUAAUACCGCAUAACAACUUGGACCGCAUGGUCCGAGUUUGAAAGAUGGCUUUGGCUAUCACUUUUGGAUGGUCCCGCGGCGUAUUAGCUAGAUGGUGGGGUAACGGCUCACCAUGGCAAUGAUACGUAGCCGACCUGAGAGGGUAAUCGGCCACAUUGGGACUGAGACACGGCCCAAACUCCUACGGGAGGCAGCAGUAGGGAAUCUUCCACAAUGGACGAAAGUCUGAUGGAGCAACGCCGCGUGAGUGAAGAAGGGUUUCGGCUCGUAAAACUCUGUUGUUAAAGAAGAACAUAUCUGAGAGUAACUGUUCAGGUAUUGACGGUAUUUAACCAGAAAGCCACGGCUAACUACGUGCCAGCAGCCGCGGUAAUACGUAGGUGGCAAGCGUUGUCCGGAUUUAUUGGGCGUAAAGCGAGCGCAGGCGGUUUUUUAAGUCUGAUGUGAAAGCCUUCGGCUCAACCGAAGAAGUGCAUCGGAAACUGGGAAACUUGAGUGCAGAAGAGGACAGUGGAACUCCAUGUGUAGCGGUGAAAUGCGUAGAUAUAUGGAAGAACACCAGUGGCGAAGGCGGCUGUCUGGUCUGUAACUGACGCUGAGGCUCGAAAGUAUGGGUAGCAAACAGGAUUAGAUACCCUGGUAGUCCAUACCGUAAACGAUGAAUGCUAAGUGUUGGAGGGUUUCCGCCCUUCAGUGCUGCAGCU